RNAcentral lists this small RNA (28 nucleotides) under Bombyx mori (domestic silkworm). Its description in RNAcentral is "ovarian small RNA-19720". Lineage: Eukaryota; Metazoa; Arthropoda; Insecta; Lepidoptera; Bombycidae. The record is from RNAcentral.
UAAUGACCUUGCGGUGUAAUGAAAGCAG